This is a long non-coding RNA of Lates calcarifer (barramundi perch), 1889 nucleotides long. RefSeq lists it as uncharacterized. NCBI's taxonomy places the organism in Eukaryota, Metazoa, Chordata, Actinopteri, Centropomidae. The record is from RefSeq and is a predicted model, not a curated record. The transcript is spliced from 2 exons.
GUUAAACAUGACGCGUCACAGAAUCACGUGACAUUAGAACCUGACAGUCCUCUGAGCUGUGUCCUGAUUGGCUGAGUUUCUUUCAUGUUUAGUUCUUCAGAUCAUCUUCACAGGUGAAAAUCACUGUUCUGAUGUUUGAAGCCUGAAUCCAAUCUCCACAAAUAAAAAGGAAAACAGUCACAUGAUGAAAAGCUGAGAACACCUGAGCAGGUAAACCCUGAGAUCAGCUGUUCAGUCUCUGUACAGGAAGAAGAAGGACUCCAGUCUCCUCAGAGGUCAGAGGUCAGAGGUCGUCUGUGUUCACCGUCAGGACAAGAGAGGUUGACCUCGAACGCACCUGCAAAGAUAAAACACAGCAGAGGGAGAAAUAAACAACAACAGGAACAGUGAUGCGCCCCCUGCAGACUGCACUGCUCAGUAACAGCUCCAGCUCUGACCCACUGGACCACUUAUUACCCAUGAUCCUCCUCUUCUCCAGUGGCUGGAACAAGCUGUUUCUGACUGUCUGAUUGUUUCCUGUCUGACUGUCUGUCAGAGCUGAUCGGGUUUUAAUGAGUGAUUAAUCAGAAUCAACAGGUGUUCAUUUGAACUGAUCAAUAAAUCAAUAAUGAUCACUGAUCAAAACUGUUUUAACUCAUGUGUUUAGUGUUAUUAUUGAUAAACUGAUUCUGACUGAUCAGGAAUCAGCUGACUGAUCUGAGCUUCUCCUUUAAUGACCUCACCACAGUAAAUAAACUGUUGUCAUGGUAACAGCUCCAUGGUAACACUGAGUUUCUGUUGCUUCCUGUUCCUGUGUGUUGCCAUGGUUACAGCUGAUAAGGAGGGCGUGGCCUAAACUUUGACUCAGAGUCUGAAGAGACGGAGGUCAGAGCUCAGAGAGACCAAGCCGAGGUCUCUAAUGAUUGUCUCUACUGUUUCUACUGUUUUCAGUGUCUGACUGACUCUAAUGACUCUGUUUCUAUUGUUUCUAUUGUUUCUGUGGCUCAUGUCUGGUCUGAUCUCAGAUCUGAGUUUCCUGUUUUUUUCAGUCUGUUUCUAAUGUUUUGUUUCCAUUUGAAACUCAAACUUUAUUGAUCUGUGGUUUGAAGUCGAUCAGCUCAGAGCAAAGAUCAAAUCAAUAUAAAACUAAGAACUGUACAAAAUAUUGUUUCAAUUAAAUCUGAUGUUUUCUGUUUUCUGUUCUUCUCUGUUUUUAUUCCACCAGAUCCACAUCAAACAGAAACAAUAUAAUACAAUACAAAACAGUAUAAAUCAAUACAACACAGUACAAAUCAAUAAACACAAUAGAGCACUACAGGGACCCAGUCCUGACGUCAGCUUCAACCUGGUUCCUCCUCAUCCUUCAGGUUUAGUUGAUCAGAUCAUCUUCACAGAUGAACACCACUGUUCUGAUGUUUGAAGUAAGAAGCUAAUGUUAGGCUAUAAACCAACUACACCACGGUCACAUGACGUCAACGUCUCCACCACUAAGCUUCCAACUGGUCAUUUCAUUUAGCUCUGAGCUCUUCUACAAAAGCCUUUCUUCUUAGAAAGUUAGUGAGAGUUUGAAAGAGCGUGAGUAGAAACACAACGAGGCUGUAAAGGUGGACUGGUGAGUAGAUGGGUUUUCAUGUUAACGUCCCCGACAACCUCUGUAGUUUCAUUUAGACACUCGUUAGCAACCGCCUUUUUUAAGACACGUAAAAGCUUCAAACAUCAGGAGUGGGGGAUUUACUGACCCAUUUUAUGUCGGAGAAUAAAACCUGAAAAUGUCUCAGACCUUAUUUCAGACAUUGAACCAGAAACACACUGACAACAGGAAGAGCUAACAUGCUAACAUGCUACAUGCUAACAUGCUAACUGACUUCCUGGUUCUAGGACUCAUUCCUGUAGAACUCUAUAGAACCUCA